Long non-coding RNA from Catharus ustulatus (Swainson's thrush), 1489 nucleotides. RefSeq lists it as uncharacterized. The transcript is spliced from 4 exons. NCBI's taxonomy places the organism in Eukaryota, Metazoa, Chordata, Aves, Passeriformes, Turdidae. The record is from RefSeq and is a predicted model, not a curated record.
UACAGUGGCGGCGGCUCCAGCGGCGUGUUGUCACUCAGGAGGACUCGGGGCGAGUUGUAGCGUCUCUGCUGCCUCAAGAGAUCUAAAGCUUGUUUUUUAAAAUGUCUGCCUGAAUGAGUUUAAUAAUAAGAGAAUUUAUUGAAUCUUCUGGCAAACUCCUUUGAUCCAUGUUGGAAGACUGGAUGCCACGAAGGAACCCCAUUAAUGGGAAAAAUGUUGGAAAGCGUUUUCCUGAACUUCAGGUGAAAAGUCUUAUGGAUUUGGUGGGAAAGAUGAAUAGUAAUCAACUGUUUGUACAAUAUGGACUUGUGAAGGUAGAUUGCUGCUGAGUGCUGAAUGUCCCUGCACACACCCUCCUGGACACUUCCAUUUCUCAGGAUACAGAAAUUUCAACACAUACAGAUUGAAACUACAGCUUCCACAACAGCCAGACCCUCUAACAAGCUGAAGAAUUCAAAGACAUAAUCAAGUGAUGGCUGCCCUAAAUGUUAACCCUCCCAUCCUGAGGGGCAACCAAACUAGAAAUUUGAGUGAGGGGAUUUGAAACAAAUUCAUUCCUCUGGCACACUGGCAGGGGAGCACAGCUACACAUCUGACAGGGAGCCCACAAAGGUUCACCAUCUCUGCAGCAGCUCAGAGGUGUAUUAAUUAAUUCACUCAAGGCCAUUUAUAAGAGAAGACACCUCUGUGCACUGAGCCCCAGUAGCCUCCAGUGAAUGGUAUAUACUUCAUUUCUUAUGGAAAUGGAGUUCAGCACAGAGUCACUGACAUUUCCUCUUCCUCUUCAAACGACUGGCUGAGCAAAGCACAGCAGGACAGCUGCUCACCAGAGAUAUGAAACUCCUCUGCACUUUGAACCAAUCCACAAUGGAGGUGACUGUGACCCUGCUGGUCACUGGGGAGAGCUUUCCCAACCUGUGACAUCUUCCUGAGAGCCAGAUUUUGGAUAACACCUCUGCUGCAAGGAGCAGUUUGUGCUCUGACCUGUCAGAUGAGCUCUGCAGAGUCACACAGGUAAUUGCAAUGGCAGGAGGGUGUCUACAUUUGAUCCUUCCACAGAUAUAUCUGUGUUUUUUUGGAGAUCAACAGGAGGCUGCUGUACACAGACCUGCCUGAUUCCAAGAGAAAGGUCAGGAGCAGUUCCUCCAUGCUUACCUCCCUCUUUGGAACAGCUGCUGCUUCUCACACCUUGUGCACAGCUAAUUCUUGUCAGGUUUGGCCCUGCACCUCCCUCCCCUGCCACCAACACCAGGGCACUUGAGAACUCCCUGGAGGCAUUUGGCACUCCCCAGCAUCCUCUCACAAUCCCACUGAGGGACUGGACUGUUAAUAAUGGCUGGUGCCAUAUCAGCUAUCCCAACUACAUCCCCAGGUCUAUAAUCAGCUAUAGGAGUAGGCAGCCUCUUCUCAGUCACAAUGAGGUCCUUUUCCAUUCCAACUCCAUCCCUCACUGACACUUUUGUGACAUAUUUGCAUGUUUACACCUGCC